Pieris rapae (cabbage white) is the source of this 370-nucleotide long non-coding RNA. RefSeq lists it as uncharacterized. The transcript has 2 exons. NCBI's taxonomy places the organism in Eukaryota, Metazoa, Arthropoda, Insecta, Lepidoptera, Pieridae. The record is from RefSeq and is a predicted model, not a curated record.
AGUAAGUCGGUUUCAUUUUCUGAAUAGAAAAAUGAAGUUGAUUUCACCUCUUCUGUUAUUGUCGAUAUUCCUUAUAUCGGAAACACUAUCCUAUAAUGUGUUUGACAAUUCACUGGAUGACGACACAGACGUCUUCAAUAAUGAGGACAUGAUAAACGCGUUGCGUAAAAAGAAACGGCUGUAUGAGAACUUCUUUAAAAGACCAAAGACAAUGCCAAGCGAAGAGGACGUGGAUUCAUUUAAUUGGAGAAUCAUAAGAGAGAUACUGCCGAAGUUGAAGAAAUUGCCGUGGCAAUGGAUUCUGAACAUGAUAAGACGGGCCAUCAGCAAUCGUGUGGGUGACUAUUAAUGAAAAUAUAAUAUUUAAAGU